RNAcentral lists this ribosomal RNA (449 nucleotides) under uncultured bacterium. RNAcentral describes it as "partial 16S ribosomal RNA". It matches the Rfam family "Bacterial small subunit ribosomal RNA", at positions 29 to 523 of the family's 1533-position model. The record is from RNAcentral.
AACGAACGCUGGCGGCAUGCCUAACACAUGCAAGUCGAACGAGACCUUCGGGUCUAGUGGCGCACGGGUGCGUAACGCGUGGGAAUCUGCCCUUGGGUUCGGAAUAACAGUUAGAAAUGACUGCUAAUACCGGAUGAUGUCUUCGGACCAAAGAUUUAUCGCCCAAGGAUGAGCCCGCGUCGGAUUAGCUAGUUGGUGAGGUAAAGGCUCACCAAGGCGACGAUCCGUAGCUGGUCUGAGAGGAUGAUCAGCCACACUGGGACUGAGACACGGCCCAGACUCCUACGGGAGGCAGCAGUGGGGAAUAUUGGACAAUGGGCGAAAGCCUGAUCCAGCAAUGCCGCGUGAGUGAUGAAGGCCUUAGGGUUGUAAAGCUCUUUUACCCGGGAUGAUAAUGACAGUACCGGGAGAAUAAGCCCCGGCUAACUCCGUGCCAGCAGCCGCCGCAG